UACGUAGGUGGCAAGCGUUGUCCGGAUUUAUUGGGUUUAAAGGGUGCGUAGGCGGCCCCAUAAGUCAGUGCUGAAAUAUCCCGGCUUAACCGGGAGGGUGGCAUUGAUACUGUGGGGCUUGAGUAAAGUUGAGGUUGGCGGAAUUGACGGUGUAGCGGUGAAAUGCUUAGAUAUCGUCAAGAACACCGAUAGUGUAGACAGCUAACUAAGCUUUAACUGACGCUGAGGCACGAAAGUGUGGGGAUCAAACAGG
Molecule: ribosomal RNA, 253 nt
Filed under: uncultured bacterium
Lineage: Bacteria
Description: partial 16S ribosomal RNA
Rfam family: Bacterial small subunit ribosomal RNA
Source: RNAcentral